This 381-nucleotide ribosomal RNA is filed under the name uncultured bacterium. Its description in RNAcentral is "bacterial SSU rRNA". It matches the Rfam family "Bacterial small subunit ribosomal RNA", at positions 355 to 753 of the family's 1533-position model. The record is from RNAcentral.
UAGGGAAUAUUAGUAAUGGGCGAAAGCCUGAACUAGCAACGCCGCGUGUGCGAAGAAGGCCUUCGGGUUGUAAAGCACUUUUUGAGAGGAUGAGGAAGGACGGUACUCUCAGAAUAAGUCUCGGCUAACUACGUGCCAGCAGCCGCGGUAACACGUAGGAGGCGAACGUUAUCCGGAUUUACUGGGCGUAAAGCGCGUGUAGGUGGUUUGGUAAGUAGGGCGUGAAAGCUCCUGGCUCAACUGGGAGAGGCCGUUCUAAACUGCCGAGCUAGAAGAUGGUAGAGGGAGGUGGAAUUCCGGGUGUAGCGGUGGAAUGCGCAGAUAUCCGGAGGAACACCAGUGGCGAAAGCGGCCUCCUGGACCAUUCCUGACACUCAGACG